UAGGUUUGACUGAAGUCAAACUUCAUAAAAUUUGACCAAAUUUAUAGAAAAAAUAUGAACAUUUACAAUAGCAAAUCUAUACGAUGUGAAAGUAUAUUCAAUGAUGAAUCUAAUGGUACUGAUUUGUUAUUGUAUAUGUUACUAUUUCUGUCUAUAAACUUUGUCAAAGUUUACAAAGUUUGACUUUGAGCAAAGCUAA
Non-coding RNA from Triticum aestivum (bread wheat), 199 nucleotides. NCBI's taxonomy places the organism in Eukaryota, Viridiplantae, Streptophyta, Magnoliopsida, Poales, Poaceae. The record is from Rfam.